ACCUGGCUGGCUCAGUUGGUAGAGCGUGUGACUCUUGAUCGCAGGGUUGUGAGUUCAAGCCCCACGUUGGACA
This 73-nucleotide transfer RNA is filed under the name Canis lupus familiaris (dog). It matches the Rfam family "tRNA". From Rfam's summary of the family: Transfer RNA (tRNA) molecules are approximately 80 nucleotides in length. Lineage: Eukaryota; Metazoa; Chordata; Mammalia; Carnivora; Canidae. RNAcentral also lists the same sequence under 2 other names. The record is from Rfam by way of RNAcentral.